GACGAACGCUGGCGGCGUGCCUAAUACAUGCAAGUAGAACGCUGAAGCGAGGAGCUUACUCUUCUUGGAUGAGUUGCGAACGGGUGAGUAACGCGUAGGUAACCUGCCUUGUAGCGGGGGAUAACUAUUGGAAACGAUAGCUAAUACCGCAUAACAAUGGAUGACACAUGUCAUUUAUUUGAAAGGGGCAAUUGCUCCACUACAAGAUGGACCUGCGUUGUAUUAGCUAGUAGGUGAGGUAAUGGCUUACCUAGGCGACGAUACAUAGCCGACCUGAGAGGGUGAUCGGCCACAAUGGGACUGGGACACGGCCCAGGCUCCUACGGGGGGCAGCAGUAGGGAAUCUUCGGCAAUGGGGGCAACCCUGACCGAGCAACGCCGCGUGAGUGAAGAAGGGUUUCGGAUCGUAAAGCUCGGUUGUAAGUCAAGAACGGGUGUGAGAGUGGAAAGUUCACACUGUGACGGUAGCUUACCAGAAAGGGACGGCUAACUACGUG
RNAcentral lists this ribosomal RNA (497 nucleotides) under uncultured bacterium. RNAcentral's name for it is "partial 16S ribosomal RNA". It matches the Rfam family "Bacterial small subunit ribosomal RNA", at positions 28 to 507 of the family's 1533-position model. The record is from RNAcentral.